UACGUAGGGUGCGAGCGUUAAUCGGAAUUACUGGGCGUAAAGCGUGCGCAGGCGGUGAUGUAAGACCGAUGUGAAAUCCCCGGGCUUAACCUGGGAACUGCAUUGGUGACUGCAUUGCUGGAGUAUGGCAGAGGGGGGUGGAAUUCCACGUGUAGCAGUGAAAUGCGUAGAGAUGUGGAGGAAUACCGAUGGCGAAGGCAGCCCCCUGGGAUAACACUGACGCUCAUGCACGAAAGCGUGGGGAGCAAACAGG
This 253-nucleotide ribosomal RNA is filed under the name uncultured bacterium. RNAcentral describes it as "partial 16S ribosomal RNA". It matches the Rfam family "Bacterial small subunit ribosomal RNA", at positions 524 to 776 of the family's 1533-position model. The record is from RNAcentral.